AAAAGACAUUUGUAAAUGUCACAAAUUUGGAACUUUUAAAACAAGAAGUAAAAAAUUUAUUAGAAAAAGAUGCUGUAGAAAUUGUGCAAAAAACACAUAUUCAGACAGGUUUCUACAGCACACUUUUCUUAGUAGAAAAGAAAAACGGGAAGUUGAGACCCGUUAUAAAUUUACGACCACUGAACCAGUAUCUCAAGAAACAAC
RNAcentral lists this long non-coding RNA (204 nucleotides) under Mytilus galloprovincialis (Mediterranean mussel). The record is from RNAcentral. Lineage: Eukaryota; Metazoa; Mollusca; Bivalvia; Mytilida; Mytilidae.